This 427-nucleotide ribosomal RNA is filed under the name uncultured bacterium. Its description in RNAcentral is "bacterial SSU rRNA". It matches the Rfam family "Bacterial small subunit ribosomal RNA", at positions 355 to 774 of the family's 1533-position model. The record is from RNAcentral.
UGGGGAAUUUUGGACAAUGGGCGAAAGCCUGAUCCAGCCAUGCCGCGUGAGUGAAGAAGGCCUUCGGGUUGUAAAGCUCUUUCAGACGGAAAGAAAACUUCUGGGCUAAUACCCUGGGAGGAUGACGGUACCGUAAGAAGAAGCACCGGCUAACUACGUGCCAGCAGCCGCGGUAAUACGUAGGGUGCAAGCGUUAAUCGGAAUUACUGGGCGUAAAGCGUGCGCAGGCGGUUAUAUAAGACAGAUGUGAAAUCCCCGGGCUCAACCUGGGAACUGCAUUAGUGACUGUAUAGCUAGAGUGCGGCAGAGGGGGAUGGAAUUCCGCGUGUAGCAGUGAAAUGCGUAGAGAUCGGGAGGAACACCAGUGGCGAAGGCGGCUACCUGGACCAGCACUGACACUGAGUCACGAAAGCGUGGGGAGCAAACA